Molecule: ribosomal RNA, 256 nt
Filed under: uncultured bacterium
Lineage: Bacteria
Description: partial 16S ribosomal RNA
Rfam family: Bacterial small subunit ribosomal RNA
Source: RNAcentral
UACGUAGGGUGCAAGCGUGUCCGGAAUUAUUGGGCGUAAAGAGCUCGUAGGCGGUUCGUCGCGUCGGCUGUGAAAACCUGAGGCUCAACCUCAGGCCUGCAGUCGAUACGGGCGGACUUGAGUACUGCAGGGGAGACUGGAAUUCCUGGUGUAGCGGUGAAAUGCGCAGAUAUCAAGGAGGGAACACCGGUGGCGAAGGCGGGUCUCUGGGCCGAAACUGGACGCUGGAGGAGCGAAAGCGUGGGGAGCGAACAGG